GGAUGUGAGGGCAAUCUGAUUGAGACAUCUGUCACCCCAUUGAUCGCCAGAGUUGAUUCGGCUGAUAUGGUGAGCUAGGAAGGUGUCCCCUUCCUCUGUUACCGCUCCAUAUGUGUCCCUCCCAAAGCUGAGUGCUUGGUCAAAGAGAAUGACCAUCCUGGAUAGAGGAGGACCAACCUUCCAUCAAGGGUAUAUGAGCUCCCCUGCUAGAACCUCCAAACAAGCUCUCAAGAGGGAACAAAACUACGGAGCAAGAGUUUCAGUAGGAAAGAGCUGAGAAAGACCCAGAAUUCCUAACAUGGAUGAUAUUUGGAGAAACAGAAGGUAUUUCUCUCUGAAAUU
Capra hircus (goat) is the source of this 342-nucleotide unclassified non-coding RNA. Its record names the gene 7SK. It matches the Rfam family "7SK RNA". From Rfam's summary of the family: 7SK was discovered as an abundant small nuclear RNA in the mid-70s but a possible function has only recently been suggested. Two independent studies have found that 7SK RNA binds the CDK9/cyclin T complex (known as elongation factor P-TEFb). Lineage: Eukaryota; Metazoa; Chordata; Mammalia; Artiodactyla; Bovidae. The record is from Ensembl.